This 2926-nucleotide ribosomal RNA is filed under the name Staphylococcus aureus. RNAcentral's name for it is "23S ribosomal RNA". It matches the Rfam family "Bacterial large subunit ribosomal RNA". The record is from RNAcentral. Lineage: Bacteria; Bacillati; Bacillota; Bacilli; Caryophanales; Staphylococcaceae.
AGAUUAAGUUAUUAAGGGCGCACGGUGGAUGCCUUGGCACUAGAAGCCGAUGAAGGACGUUACUAACGACGAUAUGCUUUGGGGAGCUGUAAGUAAGCUUUGAUCCAGAGAUUUCCGAAUGGGGAAACCCAGCAUGAGUUAUGUCAUGUUAUCGAUAUGUGAAUACAUAGCAUAUCAGAAGGCACACCCGGAGAACUGAAACAUCUUAGUACCCGGAGGAAGAGAAAGAAAAUUCGAUUCCCUUAGUAGCGGCGAGCGAAACGGGAAGAGCCCAAACCAACAAGCUUGCUUGUUGGGGUUGUAGGACACUCUAUACGGAGUUACAAAGGACGACAUUAGACGAAUCAUCUGGAAAGAUGAAUCAAAGAAGGUAAUAAUCCUGUAGUCGAAAAUGUUGUCUCUCUUGAGUGGAUCCUGAGUACGACGGAGCACGUGAAAUUCCGUCGGAAUCUGGGAGGACCAUCUCCUAAGGCUAAAUACUCUCUAGUGACCGAUAGUGAACCAGUACCGUGAGGGAAAGGUGAAAAGCACCCCGGAAGGGGAGUGAAAUAGAACCUGAAACCGUGUGCUUACAAGUAGUCAGAGCCCGUUAAUGGGUGAUGGCGUGCCUUUUGUAGAAUGAACCGGCGAGUUACGAUUUGAUGCAAGGUUAAGCAGUAAAUGUGGAGCCGUAGCGAAAGCGAGUCUGAAUAGGGCGUUUAGUAUUUGGUCGUAGACCCGAAACCAGGUGAUCUACCCUUGGUCAGGUUGAAGUUCAGGUAACACUGAAUGGAGGACCGAACCGACUUACGUUGAAAAGUGAGCGGAUGAACUGAGGGUAGCGGAGAAAUUCCAAUCGAACCUGGAGAUAGCUGGUUCUCUCCGAAAUAGCUUUAGGGCUAGCCUCAAGUGAUGAUUAUUGGAGGUAGAGCACUGUUUGGACGAGGGGCCCCUCUCGGGUUACCGAAUUCAGACAAACUCCGAAUGCCAAUUAAUUUAACUUGGGAGUCAGAACAUGGGUGAUAAGGUCCGUGUUCGAAAGGGAAACAGCCCAGACCACCAGCUAAGGUCCCAAAAUAUAUGUUAAGUGGAAAAGGAUGUGGCGUUGCCCAGACAACUAGGAUGUUGGCUUAGAAGCAGCCAUCAUUUAAAGAGUGCGUAAUAGCUCACUAGUCGAGUGACACUGCGCCGAAAAUGUACCGGGGCUAAACAUAUUACCGAAGCUGUGGAUUGUCCUUUGGACAAUGGUAGGAGAGCGUUCUAAGGGCGUUGAAGCAUGAUCGUAAGGACAUGUGGAGCGCUUAGAAGUGAGAAUGCCGGUGUGAGUAGCGAAAGACGGGUGAGAAUCCCGUCCACCGAUUGACUAAGGUUUCCAGAGGAAGGCUCGUCCGCUCUGGGUUAGUCGGGUCCUAAGCUGAGGCCGACAGGCGUAGGCGAUGGAUAACAGGUUGAUAUUCCUGUACCACCUAUAAUCGUUUUAAUCGAUGGGGGACGCAGUAGGAUAGGCGAAGCGUGCGAUUGGAUUGCACGUCUAAGCAGUAAGGCUGAGUAUUAGGCAAAUCCGGUACUCGUUAAGGCUGAGCUGUGAUGGGGAGAAGACAUUGUGUCUUCGAGUCGUUGAUUUCACACUGCCGAGAAAAGCCUCUAGAUAGAAAAUAGGUGCCCGUACCGCAAACCGACACAGGUAGUCAAGAUGAGAAUUCUAAGGUGAGCGAGCGAACUCUCGUUAAGGAACUCGGCAAAAUGACCCCGUAACUUCGGGAGAAGGGGUGCUCUUUAGGGUUAACGCCCAGAAGAGCCGCAGUGAAUAGGCCCAAGCGACUGUUUAUCAAAAACACAGGUCUCUGCUAAACCGUAAGGUGAUGUAUAGGGGCUGACGCCUGCCCGGUGCUGGAAGGUUAAGAGGAGUGGUUAGCUUCUGCGAAGCUACGAAUCGAAGCCCCAGUAAACGGCGGCCGUAACUAUAACGGUCCUAAGGUAGCGAAAUUCCUUGUCGGGUAAGUUCCGACCCGCACGAAAGGCGUAACGAUUUGGGCACUGUCUCAACGAGAGACUCGGUGAAAUCAUAGUACCUGUGAAGAUGCAGGUUACCCGCGACAGGACGGAAAGACCCCGUGGAGCUUUACUGUAGCCUGAUAUUGAAAUUCGGCACAGCUUGUACAGGAUAGGUAGGAGCCUUUGAAACGUGAGCGCUAGCUUACGUGGAGGCGCUGGUGGGAUACUACCCUAGCUGUGUUGGCUUUCUAACCCGCACCACUUAUCGUGGUGGGAGACAGUGUCAGGCGGGCAGUUUGACUGGGGCGGUCGCCUCCUAAAAGGUAACGGAGGCGCUCAAAGGUUCCCUCAGAAUGGUUGGAAAUCAUUCAUAGAGUGUAAAGGCAUAAGGGAGCUUGACUGCGAGACCUACAAGUCGAGCAGGGUCGAAAGACGGACUUAGUGAUCCGGUGGUUCCGCAUGGAAGGGCCAUCGCUCAACGGAUAAAAGCUACCCCGGGGAUAACAGGCUUAUCUCCCCCAAGAGUUCACAUCGACGGGGAGGUUUGGCACCUCGAUGUCGGCUCAUCGCAUCCUGGGGCUGUAGUCGGUCCCAAGGGUUGGGCUGUUCGCCCAUUAAAGCGGUACGCGAGCUGGGUUCAGAACGUCGUGAGACAGUUCGGUCCCUAUCCGUCGUGGGCGUAGGAAAUUUGAGAGGAGCUGUCCUUAGUACGAGAGGACCGGGAUGGACAUACCUCUGGUGUACCAGUUGUCGUGCCAACGGCAUAGCUGGGUAGCUAUGUGUGGACGGGAUAAGUGCUGAAAGCAUCUAAGCAUGAAGCCCCCCUCAAGAUGAGAUUUCCCAACUUCGGUUAUAAGAUCCCUCAAAGAUGAUGAGGUUAAUAGGUUCGAGGUGGAAGCAUGGUGACAUGUGGAGCUGACGAAUACUAAUCGAUCGAAGACUUAAUCAAAUU